GACGAACGCUGGCGGCGUGCUUAACACAUGCAAGUCGAACGAAGAGGUCCGGCUUUGGGGGGGUGCUCUAGUGGCGAACGGGUGAGUAACCCGUGGGUAACCUGUAAUUGACAGUGGGAUAACUUCAGGAAAUUUGGUCUAAUACCGGAUAAGAGUUCCUGCUGAAUGGUGGGGGUUGGAAAGUUUCGGCGGUUGGGGAGGGACUCGCGUCUUAUCAGGUUGUUUGUGGGGUAGUGUAUUACCAAGGCUUUGACGGGUAGCCUGCCUGCGCGGCUGACCGGCCACAUUGGGAUUGGGAUGCGGCCCAGACCCCUACGGGAGGGGGGGGUGGAGUAUAUUGCAUUAUGGGAUGAACCAUGACGUAGCCAAGCCGUGUGGCGUAUGACGGCCAUCCGUUUGUAUUCCGAUUUCGCCUGUGAAGAAGUGUGAGUGACGGUAAUGGGUAAAGAAGCACCGGCUAACUCCGUG
RNAcentral lists this ribosomal RNA (468 nucleotides) under uncultured bacterium. RNAcentral's name for it is "partial 16S ribosomal RNA". It matches the Rfam family "Bacterial small subunit ribosomal RNA", at positions 28 to 507 of the family's 1533-position model. The record is from RNAcentral.